GAGGUGCCCGGAUAAAUAUAAACGCGAACGGAAACAUCGAGUUGAUCCGGUCCAAGGUCGUUUGGCUCCCUCACUUUUCCUCCCCUUGCCGCGGCCCGCAGCGGGUCCGAGCUCCGUGACUUCAUCGAACAAACGAUUCGUCCGCGUGAUAAUAUACCUGCUGGAAAAUUCUUUAAUCUUUGCUCCAUUUAUCAGUAGCGAAUGUACCGUAUUAGAGGCGCGUAAGAAAAUCACGGUAAAAACCUGUCGCUUAAUGAGCGGAGAAAGGUAUUCGGGUCGCUGACCUACACGCCGAUGCAUCUCCGCGCGAUUCCGCUCCAUUCGAUAUCACGCGUGUACGUGUCCCACCUGUUCGAAGCCUUAUUAAUAUGUGAAUAUACGCUUGUACCGAUGUUCAACGAAACACGAGAGUCGUGACUCCUACACGCAUUCUUGACCCCUAAAUUCCGAGGAGCACACCGCCAGCAGGCGUACCGAAAGAUUUUAUCAUCGGAAAGUCGGACGGGCGCACGUGCGCAAAAAUGAAGAUGUACCUGGAGGUCGAGUACCCGUUAAAGGAGUGUCCGGUAGAUCCUCGCUGGUGAUGUCAGUUUGGACAAACAUCGCUUUUUUCGUUUGACGAAUCCCGAUACGUCAUGACACCUCCGCCGGGCCUUUCAUUUUCAACUUUCGACGCGGUUUCCUCGCACGAACCGCGCCAAUUCGAGUGAACUUGAGAUAGCAGUGACCACAAGAAAUAUCGGCGAUUAAUGUAUCCGCGGAAUUCACGGUUUUUAAUAAUUCGCUGCUUUUUGCGCGGCUAAAACGAUGCCAGACGGUAAAUCCCGAUGAUUUAUCACCUUGCAGACCGCGAGACAGCCGAAAACGUACUGUGUGCCACUCGCACGAUCGCGAAUGAGCAAACGAUCGCUCCCCCCCCCCCCCUCCCUCCCUCCUAACCCCUCGUCGCCGGCGCAGCGCACAUCGUGAAAGUAUAUACACGUACACAGUCCGACUCUCGAUACACGAUCUCGUCGCAACAAAUUCUCUCCGCAAGAGGCUAAAGAUGAGAUCGUUUUGGAGCGAUCCGAUGCGCGCGAGGAGCAACAGUGGCGAGCGAUCACUAACGUUUACCCUCGCCAAGUGUUUGUUCGAUGUUCGAUCCUCUCGCGCGCGCUCGACUCCACUUUACGUCGAGACUUUACGUUGCUUAUAAGGCCUGAGCGAGAAAACUACUCCUCGCGACAGUUACUGCAAAUCGCGACUCUGCACAGUCGUUCCUCCACCCACGCUUUGUUACUUCUACACGCUUGGAUUUUAUCUCUCUCUCUCUCUCCCUCUCUCUCCUGAUUUCCAUCUUCUCCUCCUUCGUCGCUCCUUUCUCGUGCGGUCAACUCCCGAGGCACGACCCUGUCGUUCGAGUCUUUAAUUGAUUUGCGUUCGCAGUUUGUCCCAAUCAGAGAACUCGCGACGACGAUACACGCUCGAGUACAGCGAGUAAACGACCAACGGACUCCGUACCCGGACUUUUUUUCAGGAAAAUUCGUCGCACGAGAAAUUGCGCAUUUGAAUACGAGAAACUCCACGUAAGCGAAAUCAAGCGUCAUCUAUAUAGAGCCGGUAAAGCCCCGGGACAAGUUGACAGCUCUGUCGGUUGCUGGUCUCAAGUUCGUUCAGUUUAUGCUCUCCCCUUCUAUCAAAUCGCGGUGCUGGCGGGGUCUAUUGCUUCUUGAUUUUUUGGCUAAGCGUCGAAGCGAAGAAGCAAUUGGUGGACUGGAGAGUAAACCAUAAAACCAUAAAACUGGGCAGAUAAAGAAAUAAAAAUUCAUCAGUCGAUCGCGGAGUUGAUUCGUACUCGAAAUUCGUCUUCAAACAUCUUUCGUUCUGUGAUUUUGUCUUCAGUGAUGUUCGACGAACUUGAAACAGUUUGAAUGUGCAUAAAUGUAGAAGUUGUACAGUUACCGGGGAAGGAGGAGAUACGAGAGAGUGGCGAGGCUCUGUGGGUGGUGGGAAGAUAUCGGUGAGCAAUUAGGUAGGAUUGUUGUAAUUCAGAUAAGAAUAAAGUUGCAAUUUACUCGGAGGUUUGCUCCCUCGCUGGAUAUAAUUCUAUCGCACGUUGCCUCGGCAUAUAAAACGUGUCUAGCGAAAUGAGCAUUGAACUUGCUCCGUGAGAGAGACGGAGAAUCUGAUCUUAUGCGAAGAGCACUGAAAUUCUGUACGUUUGGAUUGAACGACGUGAGAGAAGGAGGCAAAAGAGAGGACGAUAAAUAUAUUACUCUGUAAUACCGGUGUCGACUUUCAUGAGUUCAUAUUACGAAAGACGUUGUGGGUAUAGUGUGACACAUGUCGUACAGGUGUCCUCGACCGGCCCCCACAACCGAAGGUAUUUAAUCGACAUAGACUGCAUAAUUCAUUAUACAUCGGUAAUUCCAGUAACGUUUGCAUUUCUUUGUUUCGAAACUUUCGUCAAAACGAUCGAGGCUGCGUAAGACGAUUUGAAGAAGAGUUUUUAGCCACUUUUUCUUUGGAUGGAGCAUCGAAGGACAAAACGACGAAGGGUUUCUCUGUCGAAGAGUCUCAGGAUUCCAUCGGCUACUCGCACUUCGAUUUUCAUUGGCGAAUUUCAGGACACUCUGUAUGCAAAAUAGAAACCAUACAUAGCACGUAACUUAUCCUGGAUCGCAAUAAUCGUUGAGCCACUCGCGAUAGAAAGGGAAAGAAAAAAGGGGCGGGAGGGAGGGAAAGAGAGUAUGAAACGUGUAUGCUUAUCAGCGUGAGCGAAUCUAUUGCUAAUGUGCGUACAUACGUAUAUAGACAAAGUUGAGCAUUCAUUUGCGAAUUCUUGUGGUCUUGAAAGCCGCAUGCAAAGUGUACGUGCAUCGAUGUCCAUGCGUAUAACUUAAGCUUAGAAAUGAAGUAGAAAAGCAUUAGUAGAAAGAAAAAGAAGCAGCGAUAGAAAUCAUGUGCGUUUUAUUAAAUCAUACAAACAAUAGAGUACAAUGCACUUAUAAAAAUCGAUAAAUAAACAGAACUCGAUAGAAAGAAUAAAGGAAAAAAAAAGAAAGUCACGUUGCUUCGAAAAGAGUGGAAUAGCCACAGAAAUAAAGCAUCGUCGAAAAUCUCGAAGAUUUAAUAAAACUUUCGUAUAAAUAUGUAAAUAAAAUGAUUCAAUGUAUAGAUAAACGAUCGGACGAAUAAAUAAUAAUGAAUUUCAGAAAAAAGCACUCGAGUAUACUCGUUUUUUGGAAGGGAGUCACAGGAAGACGAAGGAUUUUGCGUUCGAUCACGGUUAUAAUCGAUGUUGCGUUGAACGAUGUGCCAGACGAACAGAAAAAUGUAUAAUGGCGGUACAUCGGGAAAGGAAUUACGGAGAUUCCACGUAUAAAAAAGUACUUAAACUUUUUUCCAUCCCGAUUUGAAGCCGUCAUUUCACAAAUUAUACUUUUCUCGACUCCACACGAUCAAUUUUGCGUUAAUUCAACGUUACUCGUUCUUCCUAACGAUUUAAACUUGCACUUCGCAUCAUCGAUCGAUAUCUUGCUCUCUCCCUCACUCUCGUAAUCAUUCGCGAGAAAUAAACUCGAUAAAAGUACGCGGUACUGAGGCACUACUCGAUAAUACACUCGAAGCUUGACGAUCUUCUUUCUAAUCGUUAUACUACCUCGUGGAACAACGUCAGGACAUAAAAAGAAAGACGAGACCGCUGAGCGCAGUGACUAGCACAGCUGUAGCGUAAGAUACUAACGCUAUGGCCGAUCGACCGUUUAUUUUUUCAUGGACGUACUUACCCCGUACUUGCUUCGCGCUCUUAUCACCUUUGAUACAACUUCCGCUUGAAUCCAUCAACGUCUUCAGGCACUUUAUAUUCUCUUUACAGACGCUCUCCAAUUCCAUCUGUAAAAACCAAGUCAAACAUUUAAUUUCAAUCGAAUUAACUCGAUCGACGAUUAAUUGAGCAACAAGCACUGCUGAAGACUUUCUCUACUUUACGUUUUUUUUAUCGUUGGACAUUUCCACUGCGUUGCAGCUUGGAAGACGUUCCACGAUCGAUAUGAACUUGAUUAUUAAAAAUUUUAGAAAAAAUUAUCGCUUCUGAUGCAGCGGAAAAUUUACUUUUCAAUUGAGCAGUCUCUGAACGAAAUUUUCUAGGUCUCCGCAUGGAAAAUGCGUUUGUGGGUUAUCACAAAGCGAGAAAUCCUUGAUCACAGCAUAAAGCGUAUCCAGCGGAAAAAUCUUUUAACAUGAGUGGCAACAAAUGAAACAGCUUGAAGAAGCAGGCGAUAGAGCUCGGCGAAGAAUGAACGUGCCUGAAAUGUUUUCAGUUGUAAAGUACUCAUACGUACAUUAUCGCGAGAUCCACGUACGUUGGGGGAUCGUGAAAAAUGAUUUUCCAUAAGAACAAGUUUCUUGUGAGAUCUCUCGACUAUUCGACGUACGUCUUCCAUGUCGCUGUCACUCUCCUCUGAACUGUCAACGUUAUCCUGGAUGUACAGAGAAUCAAAAGCAUUGAACUGUCAUGAAAUCCUCAUUGACGUGAGAAAUGCGAAAAAUUGAAUAUAAAAAUAAAUUUUAAAAAACGGAAGAACGAAAGGAAAGCAAUGGGAACUUUAUUACGUUCGUGCCAGUGAACACAUGAAAAUAAAUUAAGAAUGACAGAGAUGAAGAAAAUAAGGAGCCGAAAAAGUAGAAUAAAAAAAUUUGUUGAAAAUUCUCAAACCUUUGCGGAUGACAUGAGCAGUUGAUUAGUUGUUAGGCCAAUUGUCAUUAUUUAAAAAAAAAUCAAUAGAUCUUGGGUUUUGAUUGUAUUUCUGUACCGAUAAAUCAAAGUGGAGCUUACCGAGUGCAUGCGACUGCUCGCUGCAGGCGGGGAGCUGCUCCGAACCGCGCUCAUGCUGGACGCACAAUCAGAUUGACUGUCUAAGAAGUUUCUGUAGUCGUCACCAAAAUCCAACAAUCUUCGGGCCGUUUCAACGUCCGCAGUUUCACUGUACGGCUCGCUCAUGUAUUUCUCCUACAAGAAAAAAGAUACCAUUUUUUAUUAACGUCAAAAUACAGAAUUUAUAGCCGCUUGCGUCACCAUGAAAAAAAAAACGUACAAGCACAAAAUGAGGGACAGAGUUCUCAUAUUACACGAGCUGCAUGGGGCAUUUAUCGGACGACUGAACUCAUAAUAUGCUCAUCGACAACUUUCAAACGAAAGAGAUUAUUGAAAGACCAUGCAAAAUGAUUUUGAUUGUUCGUAAAUGACUCAAAAAAUAAAUCGAAUUAUCACAAUAA
Long non-coding RNA from Venturia canescens, 5256 nucleotides. RefSeq lists it as uncharacterized. NCBI's taxonomy places the organism in Eukaryota, Metazoa, Arthropoda, Insecta, Hymenoptera, Ichneumonidae. The record is from RefSeq and is a predicted model, not a curated record. The transcript has 4 exons.